UACGUAGGGUGCAAGCGUUAAUCGGAAUUACUGGGCGUAAAGCGUGCGCAGGCGGUUCGGAAAGAAAGGUGUGAAAUCCCCGGGCUUAACCUGGGAACGGCACUUUUAACUACCGGGCUAGAGUGUGUCAGAGGGGGGUGGAAUUCCGCGUGUAGCAGUGAAAUGCGUAGAGAUGCGGAGGAACACCGAUGGCGAAGGCAGCCCCCUGGGACAACACUGACGCUCAUGCACGAAAGCGUGGGGAGCAAACAGG
This 253-nucleotide ribosomal RNA is filed under the name uncultured bacterium. RNAcentral's name for it is "partial 16S ribosomal RNA". It matches the Rfam family "Bacterial small subunit ribosomal RNA", at positions 524 to 776 of the family's 1533-position model. The record is from RNAcentral.